RNAcentral lists this long non-coding RNA (837 nucleotides) under Homo sapiens (human). Its description in RNAcentral is "non-protein coding lnc-ZNF716-22:1". The record is from RNAcentral. Lineage: Eukaryota; Metazoa; Chordata; Mammalia; Primates; Hominidae.
GGGAACUACACAUGGGCACAGCUUACAGGUGGAAUGAUGACUCACACCUGAAGAUAUUUUGACCUUUGUAGUCUUAGGGCAAAAACUAAGGUCCUGUGUCUUCAACUUGUAGGAUGGUCACGGAAUAUUACAACUUGCAUGCACGUUGAAUGAAGCCCUCAAAUGCUACAAAGAGUGCCAAAAUAGAGCCCAGCUAAAACUGUGGUAAAACUGUGGCUGUUGUAUGCAAACUCAAAUAAAAGUAAGGAUUAUCAGCCUUCCACAUUAACAGAACCCACUGUUGAGGUUCUGAAUCGCUCACCAAGAGGCAAUCAAGUUGGAAUUGUGACUCUCAUGCAUCAAUCCAAUCGACAGAUGAGAUGAUAACACCAAGUCCAGGAUUUAGAACACCUGGGGGCUGUGCUUCCCCUAUCAAAACACAGUCUGUUGGUGAGAUUUGGGCUCUCGUGCAUUGAUUUAGUCCACUGUUGUGACUGACUUGCAUAGUUGAACUCAAACCCACAAGAGGUGUUGACUCUUAUACCUUUAGCAGGAAAAUGUCCCGGAUUGUGAAUUUCUGCUAUUGACCGGGUCCAGCUGGAUCCAGGUAUGAGAGUCAUCAUCUCACCUGUGAGCUGUGACCAUGUAUAUGUCGCAAUUUCACCUGUCAUCAGGAAGCAGACAUGAGAGUCCUAUCACCUGGGUGCUGGAUGAAAAAAGAUGCAAAGAAGACAUAUUUGCUUUUUAUCCACACAUCAUUUCCAAUCACUAUGCUGAGCAAAGUCAAUGUGAGCAGAGCUGAGAAUAGCAGUUUUCUGGCAGGACGGCCACUUCUGAGCAAAAAAUGACACAAUAAAA